CUAUAAUAAAAAUACAUAUCUGAUAUGACUUAAUAUAUAAUUAGCAUCAAACAAUAUAAUUCUUAUUCUCAAGGAUUAAAGAUUAAACGGGAAAAAAAUUAAAAUGAUUGCAAAACCAUCAAUUAGGUGGCGAUAUGCACUAAGCAUAAGGCCAACAUGACCUUUGAACAGAAGAAGAAGAAAGAAGCAGUAUGGCGCGCUUAUUCUUAGCGUCCGUUUCCAUAGUGACUCGUCGAUUCGUCGCUCUGUUGAGAAUGUCUCGAGUCUUAACCAGGAACAUACUCUGAGUUGAAUGAACUUACUCCCGGACGCGUUUUUGGAACCACAUACCUCGAGUAAGCAAUGUUUGGGGUUAAUCAACCGAAAGUUCAGGGUUUAUCUGACGGUAAGUUAACCAUGCUUUCUGGAAUACACCCCUGGAUGAGGGAACUGAUGGAAACAUCAGCUGCAGCGUGAAGAACCACGUCAGCCACGCACAGAAGACCAUUAGACUCGAACCCUGUCCUGCUGAUUGACUCUAGUGUGACCUCUAGUGUGACCUCUGCAGUGACCAGCAGCACACAGACAUCAGAAUGUGUGUCUGUGGUGUUUGUGCUGGUCUGGUGUUUCCAGCUGAUGGUUCUGUUGGGUCUGUUAGGAGCUUUUCACAUCUACAUGAGACACACGUCAGGAGAGAAACAGGAAGAUCAGAAAGUGAGGAUGAGAAGAUUUAGAGAAGGACAUGAACACACAGCAGAAGAUUCAUGAGAGCAGCAGCAGAUCAUCACAUUAUAAUAUAAAACCAAGAGAUUAAUUAAAACCAAAAGAUAUGAAUAACAUUUUCUACAGUUUUAGUUAGGAAGAUUAUUUUCUGGACAUUUGUGUGUUUGUUUGUUUGUUUGUUUGUUUGUUUUUUGCUUAUUUUAUUUAUUUGUCUGUAAACUAGGACUAUUUUUAUUUAUUUCAUUACUGUUCAUCCAGACUCUUUCUGAUUUCUCUGAAUCAGAUCUGUCAGAUUGUGAAGUCAUACUGUGUGUUCAUUUCAUAUUUCUGCUCUUUUACUUUAUUCUGUUGUUUUGGUUGAUUUCUCUUUAUGUACAGCAUCUGUUUAGAUGUUGUGUCUGUUUGAAGCUCUUGAUCUGUUUCUCAGUUUUGUAGUGUCUUUUGUUUUGCUAUCUGUGGUUGUGCUUGAAUCUGCAGUUUUUUUACAUUACUUUUAACAUGUUUA
Onychostoma macrolepis is the source of this 1207-nucleotide long non-coding RNA. RefSeq lists it as uncharacterized. The transcript has 4 exons. The record is from RefSeq and is a predicted model, not a curated record. Lineage: Eukaryota; Metazoa; Chordata; Actinopteri; Cypriniformes; Cyprinidae.